RNAcentral lists this long non-coding RNA (264 nucleotides) under Papio anubis (olive baboon). RNAcentral's name for it is "lncRNA (ENSPANG00000041471.1)". Lineage: Eukaryota; Metazoa; Chordata; Mammalia; Primates; Cercopithecidae. The record is from RNAcentral.
CACAGGGCUCAGGUAAAGUUCAACAUUGUCAUAACCUUAAAAGGAAUCUGCUUGCCCUGUCCUUCUUUCCCCUUCUAGUGGUUGGAACUUAAACAUGGUGGCCAUGAGACAUCCUAAAGGAUGAAAGAACCUAAAGAUGGGAGGAGCCUGGGUCCCUGGGUCCCUGGAUGACAGGAGCUGUCUACUUGCCCUGGACAGCUCACCUACCUCUGGACUAUCAAUUCACAGGAAAAACUAAUACCAAAAGAAGCAGUUUGUGAAAUA